Molecule: ribosomal RNA, 253 nt
Filed under: uncultured bacterium
Lineage: Bacteria
Description: partial 16S ribosomal RNA
Rfam family: Bacterial small subunit ribosomal RNA
Source: RNAcentral
UACGUAGGGGGCAAGCGUUGUCCGGAUUUAUUGGGCGUAAAGAGCGUGUAGGCGGUUCGGUAGGUCCGUUGUGAAAACUCGAGGCUCAACCUCGAGACGUCGGUUGAAACCGUAUGGCUAGAGUCCGGAAGAGGAGAGUGGAAUUCCCGGUGUAGCGGUGAAAUGCGCAGAUAUCGGGAAGAACACCCGUGGCGAAGGCGGCUCUCUGGGACGGUACUGACGCUGAGACGCGAAAGCGUGGGGAGCGAACAGG